GGAAAGAAGGAAGGAAGGAAAGAAGGAAGGAAAGCAAAUAGAAGAGAAACUGAAGGGACCAAAGAGAUGGGGAGAAGUGAGGUGAUGGUAAGGGAAAGAAUAUACUUAAUGUAAAAACUGUACAAAAAUGUUUUUAUGCAACAUAGUAUCAUGCACAAUGAAUAUAUACAAUGAAAAAAUUUAAAAACUAGAGGGAAACAUUUAUUUUCAUUUUGUGUUAUUCCUUCCAAUGUUCAGAUACAAAGGUUGAGUAAAAUCUUUACUCAAAAGUACAAAGAGUCACAUGGUAGCACAUGCCUGUAAUUCAAGUCCUCAAAAGAUGGAGGCAGAUGGAUUGACACAAGCCUGAGACAGAGACACUUGCUCAGCUGUUCAGAAGGAAGGGAACACUCUGGAAGUCGAGAGGCAGAAUCAGAUCGGGCAGGAGGACGCGGGCUAGGCACAGCCCCUCCCACAGUGCUGUGUCAGGAUUCUCCAAAGUAAUAGAACCAACAAAAAGAAAGAACAGAAGAGGGGGAAGGAGAGGACCAGGAGAAAGAGGCGGAGGAGAGAAGAGAAAAGGGAAAGGAGAAAAGUGGAGAAUCCCCCUUCCACCUGUGAAGCCAUAGAAUGAGGUGAUGUGCCACACCAGACCCAAAGUCGGGUCUCAAGAGGUUGGAGAAGGACUGCCUGCGGCUGACUGAGUAUCCUGCCAUCACUGUGGACAGAACAGACUCAGGCAUGUCUGCUGGGCUCAGGAGACCGAGCUGAUGUAGCCAAGGACAACGUUGAACGACUUUCUGGUUCUCUCCUACCUCCAUCUCUUGAGUUCCGCCAUUACAGCUCCGCCACCCCCGGCUUAUGCAAUACUGAGGUCUGAACUCCAGGUCUGGUGCAUGCUUACACAAGCCUCUUCCAAAUGAGCUGCAUCCCCAGCUCAUGCCCCCUCCCCAGCCCCAGGUUAAGUGUUGUUACUCUUACACUUAUGCACAGUAACAAAUAGUUCAGCAGUUGAGAGUGCAUACUGUGCCUGCCGAGGCCAGAGUUCAGGUCCCAGCACCCAUCUUGGGUGGCUUACAACUGCCUAGAACUCCAGCUCCAGAGAAUCCAAUGCCCUCUUCUGGCCUCCGCGGGCACCUUCACAUGUGCACAGAAAACUCCCACACGUCACAUGGUUAAAAUUUAUUUAACCCUAGAAGUAAAUAAGCAAAGCAA
This is a long non-coding RNA of Peromyscus leucopus (white-footed mouse), 1194 nucleotides long. RefSeq lists it as uncharacterized. The record is from RefSeq and is a predicted model, not a curated record. The transcript has 5 exons. Lineage: Eukaryota; Metazoa; Chordata; Mammalia; Rodentia; Cricetidae.